This 301-nucleotide ribosomal RNA is filed under the name uncultured bacterium. RNAcentral describes it as "partial 16S ribosomal RNA". It matches the Rfam family "Bacterial small subunit ribosomal RNA", at positions 509 to 807 of the family's 1533-position model. The record is from RNAcentral.
CAGUCGCCACGGUAAUACAGAGGGUGCGAGCGUUAAUCGGAUUUACUGGGCGUAAAGCGUGCGUAGGCGGCUUUCUAAGUCGGAUGUGAAAUCCCUGAGCUUAACUUAGGAAUUGCAUUCGAUACUGGGAAGCUAGAGUAUGGGAGAGGAUGGUAGAAUUCCAGGUGUAGCGGUGAAAUGCGUAGAGAUCUGGAGGAAUACCGAUGGCGAAGGCAGCCAUCUGGCCUAAUACUGACGCUGAGGUACGAAAGCAUGGGGAGCAAACAGGAUUAGAUACCCCGGUAGUCCCUGUCUCUUAUAC